This 433-nucleotide ribosomal RNA is filed under the name uncultured bacterium. RNAcentral describes it as "partial 16S ribosomal RNA". It matches the Rfam family "Bacterial small subunit ribosomal RNA", at positions 29 to 507 of the family's 1533-position model. The record is from RNAcentral.
AACGAACGCUGGCGGCAUGCCUAACACAUGCAAGUCGAACGAGACCUUCGGGUCUAGUGGCGCACGGGUGCGUAACGCGUGGGAACCUGCCCUUAGGUUCGGAAUAACUCCCCGAAAGGGGUGCUAUUACCGGAUAAUGUCUUCGGACCAAAGAUUUAUCGCCUUUGGAUGGGCCGGCGUUGGAUUAGCUAGUUGGUAGGGUAAAAGACUACCAAGGCGACGAUCCAUAGCUGGUCUGAGAGGAUGAUCAGCCACACUGGGACUGAGACACGGCCCAGACUCCUACGGGAUGCAGCAGUGGGGAAUAUUGGACAAUGGGCGAAAGCCUGAACCAGCAAUGCCGCGUAAGUGAUGAAGACCGUAAUGUUGUAAAGCUCAUUUACCCGGGAUGGUAAUGACAGUACCGGGAGAAUAAGCUCCGGCUAACUCCGUG